Molecule: microRNA, 23 nt
Filed under: Panagrellus redivivus
Lineage: Eukaryota; Metazoa; Nematoda; Chromadorea; Rhabditida; Panagrolaimidae
Description: prd-miR-58-5p
Gene: prd-miR-58-5p
Source: miRBase by way of RNAcentral
CUGGAUCUGCUUUGCGUCUCAUG